GACAGAGGGUGCAAACGUUGCUCGGAAUCACUGGGCGUAAAGGGCGUGUAGGCGGGAAGGAAAGUCAGAUGUGAAAUCCCUGGGCUCAACCCAGGAACUGCAUUUGAAACUCCCUUUCUUGAGUACCGGAGAGGAAGGUGGAAUACCUGGUGUAGAGGUGAAAUUCGUAGAUAUCAGGUGGAACACCAGUGGCGAAGGCGGCCUUCUGGACGGUAACUGACGCUGAGACGCGAAAGCGUAGGGAGCAAACAGG
This 253-nucleotide ribosomal RNA is filed under the name uncultured bacterium. Its description in RNAcentral is "partial 16S ribosomal RNA". It matches the Rfam family "Bacterial small subunit ribosomal RNA", at positions 524 to 776 of the family's 1533-position model. The record is from RNAcentral.